UCAGAAGAUCGGAUGGUCGCUCCGCAAGGGGAGGAAAGUCCGGGCUUCAUGGAAAUACAGCGCCGGGUAACGCCCGGGCGGCGCAAGCCGACAGACAGUGCAACAGAAAGCAAACCGCCUGCUUGCAGGUAAGGGUGAAAGGGUGGGGUAAGAGCCCACCGCGUUCGUGGUAACAGGAACGGCACGGUAAACCUCGCUGGAAGCAAGACCAAAUAGGGACUGCAGGUUAUUGACUUAACAGGCGCAUUUUCACGCCGCAGUCCGGGUAGGUCGCUCGAGGUGUCUGGUAACAGACAUCCCAGAUGAAUGGCCGUCCCUCGCAAGAGGACAGAACCCGGCUUACAGAUCCUCUGAUGUA
RNAcentral lists this RNase P RNA (358 nucleotides) under Alphaproteobacteria bacterium. RNAcentral's name for it is "RNase P RNA component class A". It matches the Rfam family "Bacterial RNase P class A". Rfam says of the family: Ribonuclease P (RNase P) is a ubiquitous endoribonuclease, found in archaea, bacteria and eukarya as well as chloroplasts and mitochondria. Its best characterised activity is the generation of mature 5'-ends of tRNAs by cleaving the 5'-leader elements of precursor-tRNAs. Lineage: Bacteria; Pseudomonadati; Pseudomonadota; Alphaproteobacteria. The record is from RNAcentral.